GUGGAAGGGGGCUUGCUCCCGAUGGCGCUGGGUCAGGCAGGGAUUGGCUGGCUGACACACUGCUAUCGGGAGCAAGCCCCCUCCCAC
This 87-nucleotide unclassified non-coding RNA is filed under the name Pseudomonas trivialis. The record is from RNAcentral. Lineage: Bacteria; Pseudomonadati; Pseudomonadota; Gammaproteobacteria; Pseudomonadales; Pseudomonadaceae.